Long non-coding RNA from Perognathus longimembris pacificus (Pacific pocket mouse), 575 nucleotides. RefSeq lists it as uncharacterized. NCBI's taxonomy places the organism in Eukaryota, Metazoa, Chordata, Mammalia, Rodentia, Heteromyidae. The transcript is spliced from 2 exons. The record is from RefSeq and is a predicted model, not a curated record.
UCCUGAGUAGCUAGGAUUACAGGCAUGAGGCACCUGCAUCCAGUAGUUUUUAGGUUUUUAAUGCACAAGUUUCACAUGUUUUCAUGGGGUCACUUAUAGAGGAAAUGAUAAUACAUAUCCCAAAUUCCAUAUGUUGCAUUAAGCAAAAUAUAUGCAGGGAAAGUCCUGAGUCUCCUUAUGUAGUUCAGGUCUAGAACGCUUGAUCCUCCUGCCUCUGUGUCCUGAGUGCUGAGAUUACCUUGUGGACAGCUUGUGGAACACACACCAUGCCAAAGGGGGAUAAGAGGAGGAUGUACUGUGUACUACCAUACACAAAGCAGUCAUUUCUUACCGACCAUAUUAAUUAUAUUGGAGAGCAGGAGGUGUUUUCAGCAACCUAAUAUAUUUCCUACUUACAUAGAUAUAGUUUGCUUUGUUUUAUUAAUAUGCAAUACAUUGACUGGAUGUUUCAGAUGAUCUAUAUAUAACACAUCUAAACUUUUUUCCGUUAAAAUAAUGGACCCAAGUGCAAUUGUGGCUAUCAGGAGGAUCUGAGCUCAGGAGUUCAAGGCCAAUCUAGAAAACAUAGUAAGAUA